RNAcentral lists this small RNA (597 nucleotides) under Pongo abelii (Sumatran orangutan). RNAcentral describes it as "retained intron". Lineage: Eukaryota; Metazoa; Chordata; Mammalia; Primates; Hominidae. The record is from RNAcentral.
UACAUAUUUGGCAUCGUAGGCAUCCCAGUGACCGAAAUCGCCAUUGCUGCCCAGCAGCUAGGCAUCAAGUACAUCGGGAUGAGGAAUGAGCAGGCGGCUUGUUAUGCUGCCUCCGCGAUUGGAUAUCUGACAGGCAGGUAAACUAAAAUUUGUUUCACUUCAAUUACUUUAAUAUUUUGGGGUAGACCUAUUACAUCUUUCAGCUGAAGGAUGAGUUCAUUUGGAAAGAUUAUAGAAGAAUAUAUUAAAUAACAAAAGAUAAAAAACAUUUAAAACUCUCUGAGGCCCACAUCAAAAGAAUAAUGAUACCAGAAGUGUUUUAGAGUGGAACACAUUGCCAUUUUGCAGAGUGAAUCACUGGUGAUCAGAUAGUGAGUUGAUGUAUGAUACCUUGUCUUGGAUCUCACAACUACCCCAGCACGCUUAAUACAAAAAUGCUUGGUUCAGAAUGUGACUGUUGAGACCUGUUCCUUAUGUUCUGAUUUUUUAGUGUGUAUCCAUGUUACCUAACUACUACCCCCUUUUUAUUAUUAAAAAUUAAUACAUUUUUAAAAUGUCCAUUUUGGAAAAUAUAGAAAGCACAAAGAAGAAAAUGAA